UACGGAGGGGGCUAGCGUUGUUCGGAAUUACUGGGCGUAAAGCGCGAGUAGGCGGCUUUUCAAGUCAGGGGUGAAAUCCCGGGGCUCAACCUCGGCAUUGCCCUUGAGACUGGAAGGCUUGAACACGGGAGAGGUGAGUGGAAUUCCGAGUGUAGAGGUGAAAUUCGUAGAUAUUCGGAAGAACACCAGUGGCGAAGGCGGCUCACUGGACCGUUGUUGACGCUGAGGUGCGAAAGCGUGGGGAGCAAACAGG
Molecule: unclassified non-coding RNA, 253 nt
Filed under: uncultured Sphingomonadaceae bacterium
Lineage: Bacteria; Pseudomonadati; Pseudomonadota; Alphaproteobacteria; Sphingomonadales; Sphingomonadaceae
Description: contains 16S-23S intergenic spacer region
Rfam family: Bacterial small subunit ribosomal RNA
Source: RNAcentral